This 100-nucleotide small nuclear RNA is filed under the name Neogale vison (American mink). Lineage: Eukaryota; Metazoa; Chordata; Mammalia; Carnivora; Mustelidae. The record is from RNAcentral.
UGCUUGCUUUGGCAGCACUUAGCUAAAAUUGAAUCAAUAGAAGAUUAGCAUGCCCUGUGUACAGGAUGACAUGUGAGUUAGUGAUAUGUUCCAUGUUUUU